RNAcentral lists this ribosomal RNA (1454 nucleotides) under uncultured bacterium. RNAcentral's name for it is "bacterial SSU rRNA". It matches the Rfam family "Bacterial small subunit ribosomal RNA". The record is from RNAcentral.
AGAGUUUGAUCCUGGCUCAGGAUGAACGCUGGCGGUCUGCUUAACACAUGCAAGUCGAACGGAAUCCUUAGGGAUUUAGUGGCGGACGGGUGAGUAACACGUAAGAACCUGCCUCUAGGACGGGGACAACAGUUGGAAACGACUGCUAAACCCGGAUGAGCCGAAAGGUAAAAGAUUAAUCGCCUAGAGAGGGGCUUGCGUCUGAUUAGCUAGUUGGUGAGGUAAGAGCCCACCAAGGCGACGAUCAGUAGCUGGUCUGAGAGGAUGAUCAGCCACACUGGGACUGAGACACGGCCCAGACUCCUACGGGAGGCAGCAGUGGGGAAUUUUCCGCAAUGGGCGAAAGCCUGACGGAGCAAGACCGCGUGGGGGAGGAAGGUUCUUGGAUUGUCAACCCCUUUUCUCAGGGAAGAACACAAUGACGGUACCUGAGGAAAAAGCGUCGGCUAACUCCGUGCCAGCAGCCGCGGUAAUACGGGGGAUGCAAGCGUUAUCCGGAAUGAUUGGGCGUAAAGAGUCCGUAGGUAGUCAUCCAAGUCUGCUGUUAAAGAGCGAGGCUUAACCUCGUAAAGGCAGUGGAAACUGGAAGACUAGAGUGUAGUAGGGGCAGAGGGAAUUCCUGGUGUAGCGGUGAAAUGCGUAGAGAUCAGGAAGAACACCGGUGGCGAAGGCGCUCUGCUGGGCUAUAACUGACACUGAGGGACGAAAGCUAGGGGAGCGAAUGGGAUUAGAUACCCCAGUAGUCCUAGCGGUAAACGAUGGAAACUAGGUGUGGCCUGUAUCGACCCGGGCCGUGCCGAAGCAAACGCGUUAAGUUUCCCGCCUGGGGAGUACGCACGCAAGUGUGAAACUCAAAGGAAUUGACGGGGGCCCGCACAAGCGGUGGAGUAUGUGGUUUAAUUCGAUGCAACGCGAAGAACCUUACCAGGACUUGACAUCUCUGGAAUCUCCUUGAAAGGGGAGAGUGCCGUAAGGAACCGGAAGACAGGUGCUGCAUGGCUGUCGUCAGCUCGUGUCGUGAGAUGUUGGGUUAAGUCCCGCAACGAGCGCAACCCUCGUCGUUAGUUGCCAUCAUUAAGUUGGGAACUCUAGCGAGACUGCCGGUGACAAACCGGAGGAAGGUGAGGAUGACGUCAAGUCAGCAUGGCCCUUACGUCCUGGGCGACACACGUACUACAAUGCGAGGGACACAGAGCAGCCAACCCGCGAGGGAGAGCGAAUCUCACAAACCCUGGCACAGUUCAGAUUGCAGGCUGCAACUCGCCUGCAUGAAGGAGGAAUCGCUAGUAAUCGCAGGUCAGCAUACUGCGGUGAAUCCGUUCCCGGGCCUUGUACACACCGCCCGUCACACCAUGGAAGUGAGCCACGCCCGAAGUCAUUACUCUAACCCUUUCGGGGGAGGAGGGUGCCGAAGGCGGGGUUGAUGACUGGGGUGAAGUCGUAACAAGGUAACC